RNAcentral lists this long non-coding RNA (1102 nucleotides) under Bos indicus x Bos taurus (hybrid cattle). RNAcentral's name for it is "lncRNA (ENSBIXG00005024354.1)". The record is from RNAcentral. Lineage: Eukaryota; Metazoa; Chordata; Mammalia; Artiodactyla; Bovidae.
GGAACUAAAAUACAAGCUAAAGUGCUCUAAAUUUUCUUCGUUGUACAUAUUGGAAUCUGAGGCCAUUUGUUAGCUAGAAUUUUAGCUAGGAUUUUAAAUGUGAUCCGUAUAACUGGUUUAGGUAAAAGACUCACUUAAAAUUCAUCAGACCUUUGCACCUAGUGAAGGAAGCAGUGUGUAACUGUAUUUAAAGCUAUUGCUCUUUCUAAAUUGUGCUUUUAAAUGUUCCAGAAGCAAGGUCCCAGUAAGGAACCAUUUUUGUGGAGCACAGCUAAGCCAGAGAAGUCAUGUGGUAUAGCAGGCAACUCCUGGGCACUGGGAAGAGGACUGUUUGAAUGAACCAGCAACUUGGUUCCUCAGCCCUGUGCCAGAAGAAGGGGAUGCCAUGGUAAAUAAGAAGCAGAUGAACAAAAGUCAAUGAUAAUCUGUGCUAGGUUUUGGAGAAACUCUAAGGGACCAGGAGAGAGAAAAACAAUGGAUUUGGGAAUGUGCAUGCAGAUUUCAGGCUGCUUCUAAACUCGAGGCCUGGCCCUGUUCUGAUCACUUGGAGGAAACCGUUUUAAAAUAUGCCCAUCACAGUGGUUCCUGCACAGACGUUCAUUCAAGCUGCUUAGUAACCACCAUCACUGCAUCCAUGUGCUCCAGAAAGUUUCCAACCAUAAGGAAAAAAAAAAAAAGAAAAUCAUUGCUUAGCCAUGAAAUUAAGCCCUGGAAAACCAUAAAUUCAUUGGAAAUUGGAUGCAGGCAAUUACAAUAAAGAUACCAGAGUAGCAAAAGGGUGAUGGAGAUGCAACUGGGAUUUGAUUUGGAAGUGAUGCAAGAAAAAAAAUCAAGGAAAGAAAGACAGAGCUCCUCGUCUUGACCUGUUGCAUCUAAUUCCUUGCUUCCCUGAACCUGUUUCAUUCUUCUCCAAGGAAAAAUUGAUAGAUGAAACUAAGCUUCCUUCUUGCCCAAUGUUUGAUGUAAAGAAAUUCUCAAAUCCUGUAAUUAUCCCAAAUGUGCCAUAGCACUUUAGUUUCAACAAAGGGUUAGCAAUCCUGACAGGUAAGAAGAAAUGUGUCUGUUAAGGAGAGGAACAUGGAUGAAUAAAAGAAAGAAAAAC